UACGGAGGGUGCAAGCGUUAUCCGGAUUCACUGGGUUUAAAGGGUGCGUAGGAGGGCAGGUAAGUCAGUGGUGAAAUCUUCAAGCUUAACUUGGAACUGCCGUUGAUACUAUCUGUCUUGAAUACCGUGGAGGUGAGCGGAAUAUGUCAUGUAGCGGUGAAAUGCUUAGAUAUGACAUAGAACACCAAAUUGCGAAGGCAGCUCGCUACACGAAUAUUGACUCUGAGGCACGAAAGCGUGGGGAUCAAACAGG
Molecule: ribosomal RNA, 253 nt
Filed under: uncultured bacterium
Lineage: Bacteria
Description: partial 16S ribosomal RNA
Rfam family: Bacterial small subunit ribosomal RNA
Source: RNAcentral